Molecule: non-coding RNA, 47 nt
Organism: Dipodomys ordii (Ord's kangaroo rat)
Lineage: Eukaryota; Metazoa; Chordata; Mammalia; Rodentia; Heteromyidae
Source: Rfam
GGGGGUAUAGCUCAGGGGUAGAGCAUUUGACUGCAGAUCAAGAGGUC